AUUGAACGCUGGCGGCAUGCCUUACACAUGCAAGUCGAACGGCAUCGCGGGAAAGCUUGCUUUCCUGGCGGCGAGUGGCGAACGGGUGAGUAACACAUCGGAACGUACCGGCUAGUGGGGGAUAACCCGUCGAAAGACGGGCUAAUACCGCAUACGCUCUUCGGAGGAAAGCAGGGGACCUUUGGGCCUUGCGCUAGCCGAGCGGCCGAUGUCCGAUUAGCUAGUUGGUGGGGUAAAGGCCUACCAAGGCGACGAUCGGUAGCGAGUCUGAGAGGACGAUCCGCCACACUGGGACUGAGACACGGCCCAGACUCCUACGGGAGGCAGCAGUGGGGAAUCUUGGACAAAGGGGGCAACCCUGAUCCAGCAAUGCCGCGUGGGUGAAGAAGGCCUUCGGGUUGUAAAGCCCUUUCGGCAGGGAAGAAAUCGGCGGGGCGAAUAACCCUGCUGGAUGACGGUACCUGCAGAAGAAGCACCGGCUAACUACGUG
This 490-nucleotide ribosomal RNA is filed under the name uncultured bacterium. RNAcentral describes it as "partial 16S ribosomal RNA". It matches the Rfam family "Bacterial small subunit ribosomal RNA", at positions 29 to 507 of the family's 1533-position model. The record is from RNAcentral.